Molecule: RNA transcript, 1125 nt
Organism: Chlorocebus sabaeus (green monkey)
Lineage: Eukaryota; Metazoa; Chordata; Mammalia; Primates; Cercopithecidae
Gene: SARNP
Gene name: SAP domain containing ribonucleoprotein
Source: RefSeq, a predicted model, not a curated record
GUGACAACGAUUGGUCGGUCUUGCAUCUCUACGCCUAAGGCGGGAGCUCCUGGAGGCGGAGGCAGCGGGUGGGGGCCUAGUGGAGUGAGGGGUAACAAGAUGGCGACCGAGACGGUGGAGCUCCAUAAGCUGAAGCUUGCUGAACUAAAGCAAGAAUGUCUUGCUCGUGGUUUGGAGACCAAGGGAAUAAAGCAAGAUCUUAUCCACAGACUCCAGGCAUAUCUUGAAGAACAUGCUGAAGAGGAGGCAAAUGAAGAAGAUGUACUGGGAGAUGAAACAGAGGAAGAAGAAACAAAGCCCAUUGAGCUGCCUGUCAAAGAGGAAGAACCCCCUGAAAAAACUGUUGAUGUGGCAGCAGAGAAGAAAGUGGUGAAAAUUACAUCUGAAAUACCACAGACUGAGAGAAUGCAGAAGAGGGCUGAACGAUUCAAUGUACCUGUGAGCUUGGAGAGUAAGAAAGCUGCUCGGGCAGCUAGGUUUGGGAUUUCUUCAGUUCCAACAAAAGGUCUGUCAUCUGAUAACAAACCUAUGGUUAACUUGGAUAAGCUGAAGGAAAGAGCUCAAAGAUUUGGUUUGAAUGUCUCUUCAAUCUCCAGAAAGUCUGAAGAUGAUGAGAAACUGAAAAAGAGGAAGGAGCGAUUUGGGAUUGUCACAAGUUCAGCUGGAACUGGAACCACAGAGGAUACAGAGGCAAAGAAGAGGAAAAGAGCAGAGCGCUUUGGGAUUGCCUGAUGAAAAGUUCUUGAUACUAUCUGUUCUCCAGUGUUUUCCAUUUCUCUCAUUCUUCUUGGUCACAUAUAUGCCUAAAUGCACAGUCAUGUGCCUACGUCCUGCCUCGCAAUGAGGGAGCAUGUACCCCAGGUUCAAGUGCUGGAUUGUGUCAUGUGACCAUCCCAAAACUCAGAGCACCCUAUGGCCAUCUUUGCCCUCUGUCACAUAACUUGAAAACUGCCUGAUGGCCUUUUUGCAGUGGUUCCCUCCAGGAAGCCUUGAUCUCAGUUGAAGAAGUUCUUUCCCGGCAUUCCAGUGCCCCUGUCAGCUCCAUACUCCUCAGACACCCUUAACAAAGGCUGUCAUGCACACAAUGUAACAAAUACACAAAAUAAAUGAUAAUUACACUAAUAA